RNAcentral lists this long non-coding RNA (205 nucleotides) under Elaeis guineensis (African oil palm). Its description in RNAcentral is "long non-coding RNA (EGUI_LNC074328)". Lineage: Eukaryota; Viridiplantae; Streptophyta; Magnoliopsida; Arecales; Arecaceae. The record is from RNAcentral.
GUUUUGGAUUUCUAAAACUCUAUCUCAUAGAAUUCGAAAUCCAAACUUAUUCCUUUUAGAUUUGAUCCAAACCACCUUCCAUGCAAGAAAGAAGAGAGGAGACCUUUUGUGAACAUGGGAGAGACCUGGGAGAGGGCUUUUGUUGCACAAAAUAAGAGGAGAUUGGUGUUGAAUGAGAGAGAGGGCGUGGGGAAGGCUUAUGUGG